RNAcentral lists this transfer RNA (64 nucleotides) under Desulfitobacterium hafniense. It matches the Rfam family "tRNA", at positions 5 to 66 of the family's 71-position model. Rfam says of the family: Transfer RNA (tRNA) molecules are approximately 80 nucleotides in length. Lineage: Bacteria; Bacillati; Bacillota; Clostridia; Eubacteriales; Desulfitobacteriaceae. The record is from RNAcentral. RNAcentral also lists the same sequence under 1 other name.
UGGUAGCUCAGUCGGUAGAGCAGAGGACUGAAAAUCCUCGUGUCGGCGGUUCGAUUCCGUCCUA